CAGCCGGACCGGACGGUCGCUGUCGCCUUCACCGGCGGCAGAGGAAAGUCCGAACUCCGCAGAGCAGUGUGCCGGAUAACGUCCGGGAGGCUGGUUUCAAGACCAGUCGACGGAAAGUGCCACAGAAAACAUACCGCCGAGCAAUCGGUAAGGGUGAAAAGGUGCGGUAAGAGCGCACCGCCCGUUUAGUAAUAAACGGGGCAGGGCAAACCCCACACGGAGCAAGACCAAAUAGGGGACCAGUCCGGGAGCAAUCCCGGCACGUGCCGGCUCGGCGCGGAUGAGUUCCGGGUAGGUCGCUACAGCCGGGCAGCGAUGUCCGGCGCAGAGGAAUGACCGUCCCACCCGCAAGGGCGGACAGAAUUCGGCUUACAAAGUUCGGCUGCCAA
This 389-nucleotide RNase P RNA is filed under the name Terriglobia bacterium. Its description in RNAcentral is "RNase P RNA component class A". It matches the Rfam family "Bacterial RNase P class A". From Rfam's summary of the family: Ribonuclease P (RNase P) is a ubiquitous endoribonuclease, found in archaea, bacteria and eukarya as well as chloroplasts and mitochondria. Its best characterised activity is the generation of mature 5'-ends of tRNAs by cleaving the 5'-leader elements of precursor-tRNAs. Lineage: Bacteria; Pseudomonadati; Acidobacteriota; Terriglobia. The record is from RNAcentral.